CUUUACUGUAGCCUGGUAUUGGGUUCGGGCUUUGACUGCGCAGGAUAGGUGGGAGACUAUGAAGCUGCCCUUGUGGGGGCAGUGGAGACAUCAGUGAGAUACCACUCUGUCAAGGCUAGAAUUCUAACCGUCUGCCGUUAUCCGGCGACGGAACAGUAUCAGGUGGGCAGUUUGACUGGGGCGGUCGCCUCCUAAAUGGUAACGGAGGCGCGCAAAGGUUCCCUCAGGCUGGUUGGAAAUCAGUCGAAGAGUGUAAAGGCAGAAGGGAGCUUGACUGCAAGAGCAACAACUCAAGCAGGGACGAAAGUCGGCCUUAGUGAUCCGACGGCGCUGAGUGGAAGGGCCGUCGCUCAAUGGAUAAAAGUUA
RNAcentral lists this ribosomal RNA (367 nucleotides) under uncultured organism. Its description in RNAcentral is "bacterial LSU rRNA". It matches the Rfam family "Bacterial large subunit ribosomal RNA", at positions 2099 to 2465 of the family's 2925-position model. The record is from RNAcentral.